RNAcentral lists this ribosomal RNA (468 nucleotides) under uncultured bacterium. RNAcentral's name for it is "partial 16S ribosomal RNA". It matches the Rfam family "Bacterial small subunit ribosomal RNA", at positions 28 to 507 of the family's 1533-position model. The record is from RNAcentral.
GAUGAACGCUGACAGAAUGCUUAACACAUGCAAGUCUACUUGAAUUUGGGUUUUUUAACUUAGAUUUGGGUGGCGGACGGGUGAGUACCGCGUAAAGAACUUGCCUCACAGCUAGGGACAACAUUUGGAAACGAAUGCUACUACCUGAUAUUAUGAUUAUAAGGCAUCUUAGAAUUAUGAAAGCUAUAUGCGCUGUGAGAGAGCUUUGCGUCCCAUUAGCUAGUUGGAGAGGUAACGGCUCACCAAGGCGAAGAUGGGUAGCCGGCCAGAGAGGGUGAACGGCCACAAGGGGACUGAGACACGGCCCUUACUCAUACGGGAGGGAGCAGUGGGGAAUAUUGGACAAGGGACCAAGAGUCUGAUGCAGCAAUUCUGUGUGGACGAUGACGUUUUUCGGAAUGUAAAGUGCUUUCAGUUGGGAAGAAAAAAAUGACGGUACCAACAGAAGAAGUGACGGCUAAAUACGUG